This 492-nucleotide ribosomal RNA is filed under the name uncultured bacterium. RNAcentral's name for it is "partial 16S ribosomal RNA". It matches the Rfam family "Bacterial small subunit ribosomal RNA", at positions 29 to 507 of the family's 1533-position model. The record is from RNAcentral.
AGUGAACGCUGGCGGUAGGCCUAACACAUGCAAGUCGAACGGCAGCACAGUAAGAGCUUGCUCUUACGGGUGGCGAGUGGCGGACGGGCGAGGAAUACAUCGGAAUCUACUUUUUCGUGGAGUGUAACGUAGGGAAACUUACGCUACUACGGCACACGCCCUACGGGAGAAAGCAGGGGAUCUUCGGACCUUGCGCGAUCGAAUGAGCCGAUGUCGGGUUAGCUAGUUGGCGGGGCAAAGGCCCACCAAGGCGACGAUCCGUAGCUGGUCUGAGAGGGUGGUCAGCUACACUGGAACUGAGACACGGUCCAGACUCCUACGGGAGGCAGCAGUGGGGAAUAUUGGACGAGGGGCGCAAGCCUGAUCCAGCCAUACCGCGUGGGGGAAGAAGGCGUUCGGGUUGUAAAGCCCUUUUGGUGGGAAAGAAGAGCAGCAGGUUAAGACCCCGCUGUUCUGACGGUACCCAAAGAAGAAGCACCGGCUAACUUCGUG